AGAUUUUAUCAAUGAAGUUGCUACUAUUGGGAGGAUUCACCAUACUAAUGUUGUACAGUUAAUUGGCUUUUGUGUUGAGAGAUCAAAGCAGGCUCUUAUAUAUGAAUUCAUGUCCAAUGGGUCUCUUAAUAAUUAUAUGUUUCAUAAAGAAGGAUCUAUUUCUUUGAGUUGGGAAGAACUUUAUGAGAUUUCCCUUGGAGUGGCCCAUGGCAUUGAAUAUCUACAUGAAGGUUGUGACAUGCAAAUCCUUCA
This 252-nucleotide unclassified non-coding RNA is filed under the name Hevea brasiliensis (rubber tree). Lineage: Eukaryota; Viridiplantae; Streptophyta; Magnoliopsida; Malpighiales; Euphorbiaceae. The record is from RNAcentral.